Small nuclear RNA from Spermophilus dauricus (Daurian ground squirrel), 105 nucleotides. Lineage: Eukaryota; Metazoa; Chordata; Mammalia; Rodentia; Sciuridae. The record is from Ensembl.
GUGCUUACUUCUGCAGCACAUAUACUAAAAUUAGAAUGAUACAGAGAUUAGCAUGGCCCCCUGCACAAGGAAGACAUGCAAAUUCCUAAAGUGUUCCAUAUUUUA